Molecule: ribosomal RNA, 253 nt
Filed under: uncultured bacterium
Lineage: Bacteria
Description: partial 16S ribosomal RNA
Rfam family: Bacterial small subunit ribosomal RNA
Source: RNAcentral
UACGUAGGGCGCAAGCGUUAUCCGGAAUUAUUGGGCGUAAAGAGCUCGUAGGCGGUUUGUCGCGUCUGCCGUGAAAGUCCGGGGCUCAACUCCGGAUCUGCGGUGGGUACGGGCAGACUAGAGUGAUGUAGGGGAGACUGGAAUUCCUGGUGUAGCGGUGAAAUGCGCAGAUAUCAGGAGGAACACCGAUGGCGAAGGCAGGUCUCUGGGCAUUAACUGACGCUGAGGCGCGAAAGCGUGGGGAGCAAACGGG